GUAUAAGAGACAGCAGUCGCCGCGGUAAUACGGAGGGGGCUAGCGUUGUUCGGAAUUACUGGGCGUAAAGCGCACGUAGGCGGCUUGGUAAGUUAGAGGUGAAAGCCCGGAGCUCAACUCCGGAAUUGCCUUUAAGACUGCCGAGCUAGUAGGUGAGAGAGGUAAGUGGAACUCCGAGUGUAGAGGUGAAAUUCCUAGAUAUUCGGAAGAACACCAGUGGCGAAGGCGGCUUACUGGCUCAUUCUAGACGCUGAGGUGCGAAAGCGUGGGGAGCAAACAGGAUUAGAUACCCGAGUAGUCCCUGUCUCUUAUAC
This 314-nucleotide ribosomal RNA is filed under the name uncultured bacterium. Its description in RNAcentral is "partial 16S ribosomal RNA". It matches the Rfam family "Bacterial small subunit ribosomal RNA", at positions 495 to 807 of the family's 1533-position model. The record is from RNAcentral.